Molecule: ribosomal RNA, 254 nt
Filed under: uncultured bacterium
Lineage: Bacteria
Description: partial 16S ribosomal RNA
Rfam family: Bacterial small subunit ribosomal RNA
Source: RNAcentral
CACGUAGGGGGCGAGCGUUGUCCGGAUUUAUUGGGCGUAAAGAGCUCAUAGGCGGCUCAGUAAGUCAGGUGUGAAACCUCCAGGCUCAACCUGGAGACGCCACCUGAUACUGCUGUGGCUUGAGUCCGGUAGGGGAGUGUGGAAUUCCUGGUGUAGCGGUGAAAUGCGCAGAUAUCAGGAGGAACACCGGUGGCGAAGGCGGCGUUCUGGACUGCAACUGACACUGAGGAACGAAAGCCAGGGGAGCAAACGGG